AGGGAGGCUGUCUUUGUGGGCAGUGGCACUGGAGGGCUGGCUGCUAAUGAAGGCUCCCUGAAUGGCGUGAUUGUGCUGCUGUUUAUAUAGUUUUGAUUUUAAUUUGCAUCCGUACCAGCCUCGGAUCCCAAGAGUCAUUCAGCCGUAUUGGAGGCGAACCUGCCCGCUUAUUGGUCUCCGGGAAACUGAUGUGAGUCCCUCCCCCCACUGUUAUCAUGUGCUGGUAAUUGUUUAUGGAUCAUGAAGAGGAAGAAAGGCUCCACAGAACCAGAGGUUUCUUCUCUCACAUGGCUGGAUCAUAUGAGAUGGAGCUCUUUUGUUAAAAGGCUUUUGAGAGAAAGUGUCUGAGACGGAGGCUGGGGCUGGGGGAGACAGAGCGCCAAAGAGCCAAGAUGAAGCUCCUGGAGAUAGAGGAGUUUCUCCUCCUAGGGAUGCCUGUUCCUUAAUUUCUCUGUUUCUGCCAAACACGCCGGGGCAGACUUGGACUUAAGAACCAAUUCUAGCCCACUAGUCUCUUUAUAAAUAAACACCCGCACCCAAGGCCCCCUACGGUGCAGUGAUCUGGCUCUUGCUGGUUGCUUGUGCGUUCUCAGUUUCCUCUCCAGUGUUCCCCACCGCUGUGCGCUAACUCUGUUCCACGCUUCUGCUCCGUCCAAUGUCAGGGUCUGAGACUCACUGAAGAAAGAGCCCAGACUCAAGCGGUAUGCAAAAGCAAGGAGCAUUUAUUCUGCAGCAACUGUCCAGCAUGCUGGGGCCACCAUUCCUGAGAGUGAGCACGCAGGCUCAAUUUAAAGGCCAUUAGGGGGAUUUCCAGAAGGAGUGAGGUAAACUUCCAUUUGAUUGGGUAGUGGUGGUGACUCAGGAGGUCAGGGGAUUUAGGAUUGGCUGAACGUUUAGGAACUUUCCAGAGUUGCUAAGGACUUUUCCUUAGGUUUGCUGAAUCAUUAUACUUAGCUCAAGCCCGAGUGUUAACCUUUAAGCUGACUGGCUGCCUGCAAGCUUUGUUUUUUCCAGAAAUUCUUUUUCUAUGUUCUGAGAGAUAGAAACUCGGGCAAAGCUGGAAAUGAAGCCUGUCAUCGGCUCUCGGGGCUUUGGAGUUAUUAGACCUCUCACCAGGACUCCACCUGGACGCCCCCCUCCUGCCUCUCCAGAGUCCUCACAUCUCAGUCCUCCCGCAUGCUCCAGCUCACAUUGUCCUCCUCAACGUGUGUGCCUUAAAAUUGGUUUCCACAUCCAACCAACCAGACGCAGUAAGGAGCUGGUACAAGUUAAUCCACAGCAUAUGCUGCCAGAGCCUAGGAAAAUUCCAGAAAGAAGUAAGACAACUGAAGAACGAAACAAAGCUUUGUUUUUCUAACUGAGGUCUAGAAAUCUGCAAAUGAGCCGGCUUGGAAGGCUGAAAACCGAAUGUGCAGCUCCGGAGGGAACUGGGCACAGGAAGAGUUUUGUCAGGUGUGAUGACAUGGACGUUGCUAUUCUGAUGCUUAGAUCCUCUGGAAAGACUGCUAAGCAGACUGCGGAUGGUUGUCAGGAGUGAGUUCUCUGAGGAUGAAGAAAGUGAAGAUGGAUGGGAGAAAAAUCAAGAAAUAAAACCAAAAUCCAGGAGAGCAGGGAACAGGAAAACCUGAAGCAAUAGGGAUUUUCUCAAGUGUGUUUAAGAGUCUGCAGCUUGUGAGUGGGAGAUGAGAUUCUUCAUGUCAUGUAACUGACAAACAGUCACAAUAAAAUCUCUGAUAUUAAGAAAGCCAUGACAGUCCCGGCCCAGCAGCACGUCCUGGAGCUGGAGCACAACAGCUAUAGUGUCUCCUGCCCUACUCAACUCCUGAGGCAAAAUUAACAUUUGAAUAAAGUUCCUGAGCGAGCACAGGGAGGAGGGAACCUGCUCGAUGCCUCCCAGUCAGCUGCUCCCCUCCCUCCACGGAUGCUCUCCUCCUGAGUGGGAGCCCUCCUCUGGCUGCUGCUUCCUAGGAAAGACUUGUCAUCACCUAGAGACAGGAACAGGCCACUGGCUGCCUACUGUGUCUCUCCUAGCGGAGUGCGCAGAGGUCACUGUGAGGACACAGUAAAUACUUGGAGGCAAGGAGCAGAAACCAUGUGCAAAAAGGCUGAUUCUGGAGGGAAGCCUACCGUUUCAGAGUUGGCACCCUACAUGGAGGGAGGAAACUUUCCACUCCUAGGUCCCCAGGAUAACGCCCUUCCGCAGGCUGGUCGGAAAACUCUCCACAUCCCCGGGCCGCAGCCCGCCCCUUUCGAAGUACCGUAGACUAAAAUCCAUCUGUAGGCAAGGCCAAUUCCCCACCCCAUUCCGCAUCUACUCUAGGUGGGGGUGGAGCCCAGCUCCAAACCCCGCCCUCCGAACGCCGCCAGCCGGAGAGAGGCGGCGCGGAAG
Molecule: long non-coding RNA, 2389 nt
Organism: Meriones unguiculatus (Mongolian gerbil)
Lineage: Eukaryota; Metazoa; Chordata; Mammalia; Rodentia; Muridae
Exons: 3
Source: RefSeq, a predicted model, not a curated record